RNAcentral lists this ribosomal RNA (1350 nucleotides) under metagenome. Its description in RNAcentral is "bacterial LSU rRNA". It matches the Rfam family "Bacterial large subunit ribosomal RNA", at positions 1564 to 2925 of the family's 2925-position model. The record is from RNAcentral.
UGAAUACGAGAUGCUACGGCGUCGAAGCAGUCUAUGUCAUACUUCCAAGAAAAGCUUGCACUGUCAUAAACAAAUAAUGCCUGUACCAUAACCGACACAGGUGGGUAGGUAGAGUAUUCUAAGGGGCGCGAGAUAACUCUCUCUAAGGAACUCGGCAAAAUGACUCCGUAACUUCGGGAGAAGGAGUGCCUUAUUUAUAAGGUUGCAAUAACAAGAUCCAAGCAACUGUUUACCAAAAACACAGGUCUCCGCUGAGUCGUAAGACGAUGUAUGGGGGCUGACGCCUGCCCAGUGCCAGAAGGUUAAAGAAGUUGGUUAGCAUCCGCGAAGCUGAUAACUGAAGCCCUGGUGAACGGCGGCCGUAACUAUAACGGUCCUAAGGUAGCGAAAUUCCUUGUCGGGUAAGUUCCGACCCGCACGAAAGGCGUAAUGAUUUGGAUACUGUCUCGGAGAGGGGCUCGGUGAAAUAGACUUGUCUGUGAAGAUGCGGACUACCUGCACCAGGACAGAAAGACCCUAUGAAGCUUUACUGUAACCUGAAAUUGAAAUUGGACUUUACUUGCGCAGUAUAGGUGGGAGGCGUUGAGAAUAUUCUUGCGGGAUUAUUGGAGCCAUCAGUGAGAUACCACUCUUGUAAUGUUAGAUUUCUAACUUUGUAUCAUUAUCUGGUCAAAGAACAGUUUCAGGCGGGCAGUUUGACUGGGGCGGUCGCCUCCUAAACGGUAACGGAGGCGCACAAAGGUUUCCUCUGAACGGGUAGAAAUCGUAUCUAGAGUGUAAAGGCAUAAGGAAGCUUGACUGUGAGACCUACAAGUCGAGCAGGGACGAAAGUCGGUCUUAGUGAUCUGACGGUGCUGAGUGGAAAGGCCGUCACUCAACGGAUAAAAGUUACUCUAAGGAUGACAGGCUGAUCUCCCCCAAGAGUUCACAUCGACGGGGAGGUUUGGCACCUCGAUGUCGGCUCAUCGCAUCCUGGGGCGGUAGUACGUCCCAAGGGUUGGGCUGUUCGCCCAUGAAAGCGGUACGCGAGCUGGGUUCAGAACGUCGUGAGACAGUUCGGUCCAUAUCCGGUGUAGGCGUUAGAAUAUUGAGAGGAGCCUUCUUUAGUACGAGAGGACCGAGAAGGACAUACCUCUGGUGUACCAGUUAUCGUGCCAACGGUAAACGCUGGGUAGCUAUGUGUGGAGUGGAUAACCGCUGAAAGCAUCUAAGUGGGAAGCCCACCUCAAGAUGAGUGCUCUCACAGGGUUAACCUGGUAAGGUCACGGGAAGACCACCCGUUAAUAGGCACUAGGUGGAAGUCCAGUAAUGGAUGGAGCCAAGGUGUACUAACAGACCGAGGGCUUGACC